RNAcentral lists this ribosomal RNA (484 nucleotides) under uncultured bacterium. RNAcentral's name for it is "partial 16S ribosomal RNA". It matches the Rfam family "Bacterial small subunit ribosomal RNA", at positions 30 to 507 of the family's 1533-position model. The record is from RNAcentral.
AUUGAACGCUGGCGGCAGGCCUAACACAUGCAAGUCGAGCGGAUGAAGGGAGCUUGCUCCUGGAUUCAGCGGCGGACGGGUGAGUAAUGCCUAGGAAUCUGCCUGGUAGUGGGGGAUAACGUCCGGAAACGGGCGCUAAUACCGCAUACGUCCUGAGGGAGAAAGUGGGGGAUCUUCGGACCUCACGCUAUCAGAUGAGCCUAGGUCGGAUUAGCUAGUUGGUGGGGUAAAGGCCUACCAAGGCGACGAUCCGUAACUGGUCUGAGAGGAUGAUCAGUCACACUGAAAUGGAGACACGGCCAGGCCUCUACGGGAGGGCACAGGGGGGGAAUUUUGAAAAAGGGGCAAAGCCUUACUCCACCAAGGCGGGGGGGGUAAAGAGGUUCUGGGGUUUGAAAAGAAUUUAAGUUGGGGAGGAAGGACAAAAAUUUAAUACCUUGUUUUUUGAAGUUACCAAAAAAAAAAAGCCCGGGCUAGCUCGGUG